GUUAAGUAGAUGAUCUAGUAUGCUACUUGAACUUUAAGGGGGGCCUUAACUGUCUUAACUUAAAAUAGUAAGUGUGUGAAAAUUGUAGGCAACUUUAUGUAGAUAUAUGCCUGCCAGAUAAUAUCACUCUUUCCUUCUCACACAUAUUCUAACUGGGCAGCAUGCCUCCAACUGUGUUCCACCCUGCAAGGCCUGGGCUCCCCAUGUUAAGAUUAGUUCUCUAAUUUGGCAGCUUAAAACAACACAAAUGUAUUAUCUUACAGUUCUGGAGGUUAGAGUUCCAGAAUGAAUUUCACUGGGCUAAAAUCAAGGUGCGGGUAGGGCUGGGGUUUUUUUUGUUGUUGUUGUUGUUGGUUUUUUUUUUUUUUUUUUUUUUUUUUUUUUUUUUUUUUUUUUUGAGGCUUUAGAAGAUAAUCCACUUAUUUGCCUCUUUCAGCCUCUGGAGGACCCUUCAUCGCUUGGCUUAUGGCCCUCUUCAUCCAUCUUCAAAGCCAGGAACAUUGCAUUUACCUGAACAUUCUUCUAUAGUCUCAUCUCCCUCUAGCCAUAGCCGAGAAAUGUUCUUCACUUUGAAGAAACCAUAUGGGUUGAAUUGUGGCCCCUCAAAAGCAAUUUAUGCAGAUGAAGUCCCAACUCUGGCCAUGGCCAAUAUUAGCUGGAUAAUUCUUUGAAUCUGGCUAAUGUGGAAUCUUGCAAGGACAAAGAGGAUUUGCUCAUGAACUGGUAAGAGAGGUACUGGUCAUGCAUGCUUAAAUGUGCUAAUAGUUCUGGUCUUUAAUGGUACCGACUUAAUGAAGAUGAUGUUAUGCAUUUUUAAUUGUUCGCCUAUGAUUCGACAUUAGCCAUGCCUUUCUAAUAUGAAGAUUUGUUGGCCAGAACUGACAUUAGCUGAAAGUGGAUCCUUAACUUGUCAGUUCCUCCCACAUCUUCCUUGCCUUUGUUUUCCCUAGUGCCUUUCAACUGAAUUGAUGAGCCCUAUUUGCAGACCCAGAUCACCCCCUAACCCUUUCCUAAAUCAAUGUUUAAAAUGGCAGAAAAUAUAUCAACAACCUCAGACUAAUUUAACAGGGCUUGAAACACUGAGCCGGGAGUGAGCUUUGUGCGUUCAUUACACCCCUGAAUUGCAGUGCUCCUCGCCCCCUUUCUAGGUUACUUUUGCUCUGUUCUCCCACUGUGCAGUUUGGUAAUUUGGCCUUGUUUCCCUCUAGGACUAACUCCCCAUGCAGAACCUUGCCUAACUCCUGCCAAACUUUUCUUCCUAGACUCUGCCCUAGCCCAUUUCUUUGAUACCUUAUCAGUUGGCAAGAUAUGGACAUAUCAUGAUGAUGAUGCACACUGUGCUUCACUUCUGGGUUGAAACCUUUCUGGAAGUUCUUGUUACUGAGUUGGCUCUCCUCCCUCUGACUAUUAUUUGAGGCUAUAAACACUGCUCUAGGCAUUCCCAACUGUCCUGGCUGAGAUCCUGCUCUGCAAACUGUGGUCAGAUUCCCUCAAAACCUAUUCUAGUUAAUGGGUCUUUGCUUGGUCCAACUUCCUCUCCCCUCAUGCAUUGUGGCUGAAUCCAUCUAUGAUUUGUCUUUGUAGUUGAUGUGAGGGCUUCUGCAAAAAGCUCUAUCUCCAAAGUCUCCAUCUGUGAU
This is a long non-coding RNA of Cercocebus atys (sooty mangabey), 1637 nucleotides long. The record is from Ensembl. Lineage: Eukaryota; Metazoa; Chordata; Mammalia; Primates; Cercopithecidae.